GGCUGACUGAGCGACAGAGGCUGUAACCGCGAGGACCAGUCAGGUGGGGAGUAGAGCUGUCGCGGGCCGCUGAAGCGCCGGCCUCAGCAACACUUGGGUGAGAGUUCCUGGAGACACCUCCAUCCCGGUCUGAGGUUGCCACCUGUGGAAGUGCCGGAUUAGACGUUGAAAUAAGACGCUUUGCGUGUGCAAAUCAAAGUGUUGGCACUCAGCGUGGAGUCCGCAGGAUCCCGGAAGAGGAGGGAAGGAGAGCUUAAUUCCAAAUAUGACCUCAUUGAGGGAUCGCACCCCAAAUUUCACCAUAUUGUAAAUUUUUUAAAUUCGGAGAUCAUUAUAUGUUGGCUCAGGAAGACAUAUUGAUUUCUUGAUAAUUGAUUUGCUGGCAAUAUAAAAGAAAGACGCCAAAUAUUAGAACAGUGCUUAGCGGGCGCCCUGAGGAACGGCCUGUAAUCCCAGCAGCUCCCGAGGCUGAGGCAGAAGACUCGCAAAUUCCAGGCCAGCCUCAGCAACUUAACCAGGCCCUGGGCAACUUAGCAAGACCCUGUCUCAAAAUAGAAAAUAAGAAGAACUGGGCUGGGGUCGUAGCUCAGUGGUUAAGCUAAC
This 603-nucleotide long non-coding RNA is filed under the name Marmota monax (woodchuck). Lineage: Eukaryota; Metazoa; Chordata; Mammalia; Rodentia; Sciuridae. The record is from RNAcentral.